GCUGGGCGUGGUGGUGCACACCUGUAAUCCCAGCGACUCCGGAGUCUGAGGCAGGAGGAUUACAAGUUGAAGGCCAGCCUCAGCAACUUAGUGAGGCCCUAAGCAAUUCAGUGAAACCCUGUCUCUA
Molecule: small RNA, 127 nt
Filed under: Marmota monax (woodchuck)
Lineage: Eukaryota; Metazoa; Chordata; Mammalia; Rodentia; Sciuridae
Source: RNAcentral